GAUGAACGCUGGCGGCGUGCCUAAUACAUGCAAGUCGAGCGAACAGACGAGGAGCUUGCUCCUCUGACGUUAGCGGCGGACGGGUGAGUAACGCGUGGAUAACCUACCUAUAAGACUGGGAUAACUUCGGGAAACCGGAGCUAAUACCGGAUAAUAUAUUGAACCGCAUGGUUCAAUAGUGAAAGACGGUUUUGCUGUCACUUAUAGAUGGAUCCGCGCCGCAUUAGCUAGUUGGUAAGGUAACGGCUUACCAAGGCGACGAUGCGUAGCCGACCUGAGAGGGUGAUCGGCCACACUGGAACUGGGACACGGUCCAGACUCCUACGGGAGGCAGCAGUAGGGAAUCUUCCGCAAUGGGCGAAAGCCUGACGGAGCAACGCCGCGUGAGUGAUGAAGGUCUUCGGAUCGUAAAACUCUGUUAUUAGGGAAGAACAAAUGUGUAAGUAACUAUGCACGUCUUGACGGUACCUAAUCAGAAAGCCACGGCUAACUACGUG
Molecule: ribosomal RNA, 497 nt
Filed under: uncultured bacterium
Lineage: Bacteria
Description: partial 16S ribosomal RNA
Rfam family: Bacterial small subunit ribosomal RNA
Source: RNAcentral